RNAcentral lists this ribosomal RNA (449 nucleotides) under uncultured bacterium. RNAcentral's name for it is "partial 16S ribosomal RNA". It matches the Rfam family "Bacterial small subunit ribosomal RNA", at positions 29 to 523 of the family's 1533-position model. The record is from RNAcentral.
AGCGAACGCUGGCGGCAGGCCUAACACAUGCAAGUCGAGCGCCGUAGCAAUACGGAGCGGCAGACGGGAGAGUAACACGUGGGAACGUACCCUUUGGUUCGGAACAACCCAGGGAAACUUGGGCUAAUACCGAAUAAGCCCUCACGGGGAAAGAUUUAUCGCCGAAGGAUCGGCCCGCGUCUGAUUAGCUAGUUGGUGAGGUAAUGGCCCACCAAGGAAACGAUCAGUAGCUGGUCUGAGAGGAUGAUCAGCCUCAUUGGGACUGAGACACGGCCCAGACUGUGAGGGGAGGCAGCAGUGGGGAAUAUUGGACAAUGGGCGCAAGCCUGAUCCAGCCAUGCCGCGUGGGUGAUGAAGGCCCUAGGGUUGUAAAGCCCUUUCGGCGGGGAAGAUAAUGACGGUACCCGCAGAAGAAGCCCCGGCUAACUUCGUGCCAGCCGCCGCCGUAA